Molecule: ribosomal RNA, 253 nt
Filed under: uncultured bacterium
Lineage: Bacteria
Description: partial 16S ribosomal RNA
Rfam family: Bacterial small subunit ribosomal RNA
Source: RNAcentral
UACGGGGGGAGCAAGCGUUGUUCGGAUUUACUGGGCGUAAAGGGCUCGUAGGCGGCCAACUAAGUCAGACGUGAAAUCCCCAGGCUCAACCUGGGAACUGCGUCUGAUACUGGAUGGCUUGAAUCCGGGAGAGGGAUGCAGAAUUCCAGGUGUAGCGGUGAAAUGCGUAGAUAUCGAGAGGAACACCUGCGGCGAAGGCGGGUUGCUGGGCUGAUACUGACGCUGAGGCGCGAAAGCCAGGGGAGCGAACGGG